CAGGCGCGUGUGAAUCAGCACCGAGGUUCGCGGGUGUCUGCACGGAGCCCCGCACCUCGCGCAGGCGCCUGAAGAGCCCGAAGGCUACUGCACCGAGUCCCGGCGCUCGCGCAGGCGCGUGUGGAGCAGCCCCGAGGUUCGCGGGCGUCUGAGCCGAGUCCCCAGGGCUAACGCUGAAGCGUGUGGAGCAGCUCCCAGGUUCUCAGCGGCCCUCGCCGGGAGGGUGGCCUCCGCGGGCAGGCCGUGGGCCCUUCCUCAGGCUUCUGGAAGGCGGUCCUAUCUCACCCCACCCCCAACCCCCAGCUGCAGAUCCGCAGGGUCCGAGGCGCCCCCUUGGCUGCUUUCCCGCUGAAGGGUGGGCCAGGCCCUCGGCGUCCGCAGCAGGCCGGGCCCGGAAUGGAGGCGGCGUGGGGCGGCCCGGCCGAGCGGGGGAGCCGCGGUGUUCUAGAACCGGUGUCAGUUCUCGGGGGAGGGGGUGCGCAGGCAUCCUUCCCUCGCCCGCUCUGCUUUCGCCCGGAAACUAGCCGCGUCCCCCGCAGGGCCGAGCAAGGCAGCGGGCACGGCUGCGUUCUCCUUAGUUGUGUUUGUUGGCCUAAAAUUCCAAGAAGAAAGUCAGAGGAGCAACGGCUAACAGAUUUGCUGUUUGUUCUUUCCUCUUUCACACCCAAAUGUAGUCACUGCCGCCUGUGAACGAAAGGGCUGCGUCUCCAGGGGCCGUGGCCUCAGUGCCCCAGACAAAGCCGGGCUGGCGGUGAUAGGGGGUUGGGGGAGUUGGUUAGGGGUAGUGACCGGGGACCCCAGAGCCACCCUCUGGGAGGUCGGGGGUGAGGCCGGGCUCUGAGGCCUCCGGCAUCCAUGGAGCACCCAGGGCCUGGAGCUGGCAGGGCUGGGGGACAACGCAGGAACUGGGAGACCAGCCAGUUCCAACCGCUCCACAGGGCCACCUGGGCCAUUCCCUGCCUCCAGGAAGGAUCUGCCAGAGCCUGGAAGGAGAAAGGAUCUUCCCAGCGCUUCAGGACCCGGGUAGCAUCUCCCUGCUGGGGACUGUCCAUGUGGCCUUCUUGCUGGCAAUUCCACAGAUGGCGGAUCGGAACCACUCUGGAUCCUGCCAAUGCCCUGGCAGCUCUUUCUGCACCGAUUUUAAAUGGCCAAACUCUAUUUUUGUUUUGUUCCUUCCAGAUUUUGCUCUCAUCCCAAUCGAAAGAAACAUAAACUUUGUGAACAUUUUAGGACACUCUGUGGCAUACAAACAGAGUUAUUUUAACUGGGGAGCUGGAGCUGCCUUAAAAAAGCUUCUUGUUCCUUGCCUGAAGGCCUGAGCCAGGGGGAUUUGUCCUGUUCCUUUGGAGGAACAUUGGCUAGUACCGUUGUGGUAACAUGCGUGAAAGUACCCAAGCCAGGCACUGGGCUAGGAGUUCCAUCUCAUUCAUUCUUCACAGAGAGACUGUAAGGUGUCACCUCUGUGUUAUAAAAGACAACAUUAAGAACUUAAGCCACAUUGAGGGUAAGUAACUUUGUCCAGAGCUGAGUUUGAGUCUGGAACUCUGGGACCUCAAAUAUUUUCGCUUAACCACAGUGCUAUGCCACCUGCCUGGUGCUGUUACCUGGUGGGUGUUUAACCACGGGCUGAUUUCUGCCUCAUCUGCCCCACUAGCCACCUAGGUCUCAAAAGAGUCGUCUCAGGAUUAGUCUAGGUUGUCAGGCUGAAUCAGGACCUUUUGCAAAGUUUUUCUCUGUGAACUAGAGUUUAAACUUGCACACUUAGACUAGUAUAUCUCUGAAGUGUGUAUUUCCUUCCCAAACCAGUCUAAGACCAAGAGGAAUCAGAGUUACUAAUAAGCACCAAGAGAGAACUGUUAUCUUUCUUAUAAAAACUAAAAAGCUAAGAAAAACAAUCAUCAGUGUGAAGUCUCAAAAUGGUUAAUAUUUCUUUCAAAGAAAAAAUAAUAUUUACCCGAGCAUGCAGUUUUUGCAUGUUUCAUGACAAAGCUUGUUUCACGCUGAAAGAAAAAAAAAAUCACUCAGAAUGAAGCCAAUUUUAAUUUACACACACACAAAUUUAAGUAAGCAAGUAUUAAAGGAAUAAGGCCACCACACACAUAAAGCACUGUAUCUAUUUAUGUGUAUAUAAAUGCUUGUUGUGAUCUUUUUUUUCCUCUCAUAUAUCCAGAAAAUGUUUCUGUAGUCCUGACUCAUUUGGCCCUGGCGUCCUCUCCCACUUGCCCACCUACCAUGCUAUGUUCCCUGUGUGCCUUGAUUCUGGGUCCACCCAGCUAGCUCUGUUCCUACGGAAGUAAGGAAUGGCAAUGAGCCCACCAUUCUCCAUUCUUCCCUGUGUGCACCAAAAGAGAAUGGAAAUGAGCCCAAACUAUAGAAGCUGGUGGGGAAACACACGUCUUGUUCAGGUGUUGUCCCAGCUACAAGAGUAACACCAGGUCUCGGCCUCCAGUGGCUCCCCACUGCCUGCACCUGCAGAAAAGCCCAACUCCUCAGCCUAAUUUUUUUUUCAAUAUAUGAAGUUUAUUGUCAAAUUGGUUUCCAUACAGCACUCAGUGCUCAUCCCAAAAGGUGCCCUCCUCAAUACCCGUCACCCACCCUCCCCUCCCUCCCACCCCCCAUCAACCCUCAGUUCUCAGUUUUUAAGAGUCUCUUAUGCUUUGUCCUCAGCCUAAUAUUUGAGGAUACCUCCCUCCUCCUUCUCGUGUCCUUCCACUCCAUCCAUGAAUCUUUCAAGCAGGGCUCCAAAUCACCACUGAACUUGCUCAUUUAGAGGCAGCUCAAUGAUUUUCAGAGGUUCCUGGGUCUACUCUUCAUUCCCCAUGCAGCUGGCACAACUUACCCAGCUGCUGCAGUGGGCCUGUGGCCUUCACUUCCUGGCCUCAUGCUCAGACUGUGCCAGAACUAGCUCCUGGCCUCCUAUCCUGCACACCGUGCUGCCCCUACUAAGCUGUCUGCCGCCAUAGCCCUUCCUUGGUGGGCCUAAGCUUUCCCCCAGUUUCUUGAGACCUCCCAAGUCGUAGGUGGUCAGGCCACAAGUGAAGAGUUGUCCCAAACCACAGUGCCUGCCUCCUUCCUUGAUUUGUCGUGCUGCCGUGUCCCACCCAUCAAGCUACACUGCGCUUCCCCACCCAACCCCAUCUGCGUCCGUAACUCCCUCUGGGCCCAAGGCGCCUUCCUCCUGGCUGUCUCCAGAGGCCCUGUCUCCACAUCCCUCAGCGGCUGCCAGUGUCCUUGUCACUGGGUGUCCCUGUGUGCCUUGCCCAGAGUGUACAAAGUUACGCCCAGCAAUCCCGGGGGUUAACAGUGGUAUAGGAAUGAACUGGGGUGACAAUGUCACAUGUGUCAGAGCUUUGUAAAGUGCUAGGCAGACAAGAUCCUGGUAUUCCUGAUCCUGGAACCUCCCUCUCCCUCCCCCAUUGCCUGAUGCCCCUGAGUCUGCAUUCUGUCCAGGAGUCUCCUGUCUUCUCAGGGACCAGCCCACAGCCCAGCUCCCACUCCAGCACACAGUGCACCGAGGCCCCUCUGAGUUCCUAGAGCCCUCACUGUUGGCGUCAUUCUCAGUGGCAUUUCAUCAGACCCUGUUUGGUGAGCCACACUCAGGACAUCUGGCUCUGCUGCGAAAGAGUUGGGUGAAACUGACCCCUUGUUUGCCAGACUGUAAAAGAAGGGGCCAGACAAUACCUCUGGACCUGUCUUUCGGAUCUGAUGUUUUAUGUGUGUAGACUUUUUCCUUCUCUAAACUUUAUGCUUUUAAUCCCCAUCACAACCUAGAGCACAGUGCCAGGCUCACAGACACCCUAUAAAUGUUAUUUCUGGGUUGGUAACUGAAUAACGGGUUUGUCCUACUGAUGAGAUAAAGUGAUUUUUCACUUUGUGCUUUUUUUUAAUUAAAUUUUAAUUUAUUGUUUUCAUCAUGAUAACUGUAGUCUUUAAUCCCCAUCAACUAUU
Long non-coding RNA from Prionailurus viverrinus (fishing cat), 3948 nucleotides. RefSeq lists it as uncharacterized. NCBI's taxonomy places the organism in Eukaryota, Metazoa, Chordata, Mammalia, Carnivora, Felidae. The record is from RefSeq and is a predicted model, not a curated record. The transcript has 3 exons.